This 253-nucleotide ribosomal RNA is filed under the name uncultured bacterium. RNAcentral describes it as "partial 16S ribosomal RNA". It matches the Rfam family "Bacterial small subunit ribosomal RNA", at positions 524 to 776 of the family's 1533-position model. The record is from RNAcentral.
UACAGAGGUGGCAAGCGUUGCUCGGUAUCACUGGGCUUAAAGGGCGCGUAGGCGGUGCGGUACGGUUUCGGUGAAAUCCCUCGGCCCAACCGAGGAACAGCCGGGGCUACGGCCGCGCUAGACGGCAUCAGGGGACAGUGGAACUCCCGGUGGAGCGGUGAAAUGCGUAGAUAUCAGGAGGAACACCGGUGGCGAAGGCGGGUCUCUGGGCCGAUACUGACGCUGAGGAGCGAAAGCGUGGGGAGCGAACAGG